AGGGAAUCUUCCACAAUGGACGAAAGUCUGAUGGAGCAACGCCGCGUGAGUGAUGAAGGUUUUCGGAUCGUAAAACUCUGUUGUAAGGGAAGAACCAGUACGUCAGGCAAUGGACGUACCUUGACGGUACCUUAUUAGAAAGCCACGGCUAACUACGUGCCAGCAGCCGCGGUAAUACGUAGGUGGCGAGCGUUGUCCGGAAUUACUGGGCGUAAAGGGCGCGUAGGCGGCUCUUUAAGUUAGAUGUGAAAACCCAGGGCUCAACCCUGGGAGUGCAUUUAAAACUGAAGGGCUCGAGUGCAGGAGAGGUAAGUGGAAUUCCUAGUGUAGCGGUGAAAUGCGUAGAUAUUAGGAGGAACACCAGUGGCGAAGGCGACUUACUGGACUGUAACUGACGCUGAGGCGCGAAAGCGUGGGGAGCAAACA
RNAcentral lists this ribosomal RNA (426 nucleotides) under uncultured Bacillota bacterium. RNAcentral describes it as "bacterial SSU rRNA". It matches the Rfam family "Bacterial small subunit ribosomal RNA", at positions 356 to 774 of the family's 1533-position model. The record is from RNAcentral. Lineage: Bacteria; Bacillati; Bacillota.